UGUAAGCGUAUACCAAAGUUGUUGCAGUUAAAACGCUCGUAGUCGGAAUUUGGCAGUUCCGGAUGUGUGCACGUCGUGUGCGCACUUCGCGGGGAUUGCUUUUGUGGUCUUGCGUAGGAUGAGGCACUUUUAUUAGUGAACGUCCUCACGCAACCACUUUUUACUGUGAGAAACUCAGAGUGCUCAAAGCAGGCAUUUGCCGUGAAUGUAUUAGCAUGGAAUAAUAGAAUAGGACUUGGUUCUAUUUUGUUGGUUUGUUGGGACUGAGUAAUGAUUAAGAGGGACAGUUGGGGGCAUUUGUAUUUCGGUGCUAGAGGUGAAAUUCUUAGAUUACCGAAAGACAAACUGCUGCGAAAGCGUCUGCCAAGGAUGUUUUCAUUGA
Molecule: ribosomal RNA, 382 nt
Filed under: uncultured eukaryote
Lineage: Eukaryota
Description: partial 18S ribosomal RNA
Rfam family: Eukaryotic small subunit ribosomal RNA
Source: RNAcentral